This is a long non-coding RNA of Homo sapiens (human), 1455 nucleotides long. RefSeq lists it as uncharacterized. The transcript is spliced from 2 exons. The record is from RefSeq and is a predicted model, not a curated record. Lineage: Eukaryota; Metazoa; Chordata; Mammalia; Primates; Hominidae.
UGGUUCCACCUCCUACCUAUAAUGGAGAUGGGGACUUGUGGGGUGACAUUGUGCCGCUUCCAGGCUUUUAGCAGGCAACUUCUCCUGGCUCGGAUGAUCUAGAGCAGUGAUUUUCCAGCAGUUCCUGGGGGUCUGGUGAGAAGAAGACAGGCCUGGAGUUGAAGGAGAGAAAAAAGGCUGGGCUGGCCUGUUGGAAGGAGACUUCCACCUCUGCAAGCAUCCCCAUCUUGUUUGGAUUGCAAACUCAGUUGCCAGCCAAGCAAGAUGAGGGGAACGGCUUUGGACUCGGGCUGACUUGGACCACAUCCCAUCUCUGCCGCCAUCUGAGCUCUGUGACCGUGAAGUGCUCCUACCACCCUUCUGAGCUUUUGUUUUCUUCACCUGUAAAAGUGCAGGAAGAAUACUUACCUGUCACCAGAAUAUUCCAAGAAUUAGAAUUAAUGUUUGGAAAGUUGUUGACACCUAGCAGGUACUCAAAAAAUGGUGGCUAUUACUACUACAUUCUACAGUCUCUGCGCUACUUUGAAAGGACUUGCUUCUAGGGGAGCUUAUUUCUAAUGGGGAGAUAUUUUGGUUUUGAAGUAAAAUCUAUACCGUGUUAGAUGGGAGGUGUGCUUUAGAGAAAAAAUAAAGCAGGGAUGGGAGACUGAGAUGGCUGGGGAGCCUGAGGAAAGCCCCAUUUAUAGGUCUAAGAAUGAGAGAGAGUUUCUUUCUUAAAUUCCCUCUCCCUACUUUAUCAAAGAGAUUUUACUUCCAAAUAAGUGUAAACGGGAAAAGGGAACAGAGCCUGAAAGACACUCAAAACAGACACUCAAAAAUGCUGUCCUAGGGAGUCAGCUGGGGUGUCAUCACUGACGUGGGACUUAGGGUGUUGAGCUGGAGUCCUGGUUUGUCAUUUGAAAAGAGAAAUCCUGAUCAAGUUGUUGUACUGCUCUUUGACUCUAUUUCCUUAACUGUAAAUUAGAGGUAAGAAUCCCUGUCUCACGUGCACGAGCAGGAGAGGCUUUCUGGUCUGUUGGGAUUCUCAGAUUCACAAGGAUCAGGACGUGGCCAUUGAAAGCUGCCAUCCCAAGAGGCAAAACUAUGGAAGAUAGGAAGGAAAUCCGUACUUACCUCACUCUGCUCCCUCCUCCUUUCCGUGCCUGCGUGCACACACACACGCAUGCACACACCCUGAGGUUGUCAGGGGACUAGAGGUGUUGUCCUUGAAAGUGAAAGUCAUUCCAAGGCAAAGGAAAUGUACUGGUGUUGAGAAGGUUCGGUAGGGCCCCUUCCAACGGGAAUGGCUGACUCGCCAUGUCCUCUAAAGAUGCUGCCUUGAUUCGUGGAUUUCAGCAUUGUCCAAGCUCUGUGGCACCAUGGACUGGUUGUAUGUCACUGACAAGCAAAUGCUUAGUCCUGUGCUGUAUAUAUUUACUGUACCAUAUAAAUAAUAAACACUAAUAACUCACUUCA